Molecule: small nucleolar RNA, 95 nt
Organism: Physeter macrocephalus (sperm whale)
Lineage: Eukaryota; Metazoa; Chordata; Mammalia; Artiodactyla; Physeteridae
Source: Ensembl
AUCAGCUGCUCAUAUCACACCCGAAAGGAGUCUGGGUUCAUCGUGAUAACGGGCAUAAGACUUUUGGCCUUCCUAUGAACAAAUACUCUACAUGU